GCUGAACCCUGCUUGCGGGGGGAUGAGUGGCGAACGGGUGAGUAACACGUGGGCAACCUGCCCCCGGCUUCGGGAUAACUCCAAGAAAUUGGGGCUAAUACCGGAUGUGACCGCUGGCCGCAUGGUCUGGUGGUGGAAAGGGUUUCCGGCUGGGGAUGGGCCCGCGGCCUAUCAGCUUGUUGGUGGGGUAGUGGCCUACCAAGGCGACGACGGGUAGCCGGCCUGAGAGGGUGACCGGCCACACUGGGACUGAGACACGGCCCAGACUCCUACGGGAGGCAGCAGUGGGGAAUAUUGCGCAAUGGGCGGAAGCCUGACGCAGCGACGCCGCGUGGGGGAUGACGGCCUUCGGGUUGUAAACCUCUUUCAGCAGGGACGAAGCCGCGAGGUGACGGUACCUGCAGAAGAAGCACCGGCCAACUACGUGCCAGCAGCCGCGGUAAUACGUAGGGUGCAAGCGUUGUCCGGAAUUAUUGGGCGUAAAGAGCUCGUAGGCGGUUCGUCGCGUCGGCUGUGAAAACCCGGAGCUCAACUCCGGGCCUGCAGUCGAUACGGGCGGACUCGAGUUCGGCAGGGGAGACUGGAAUUCCUGGUGUAGCGGUGAAAUGCGCAGAUAUCAGGAGGAACACCGGUGGCGAAGGCGGGUCUCUGGGCCGAUACUGACGCUGAGGAGCGAAAGCGUGGGGAGCGAACAGGAUUA
Molecule: ribosomal RNA, 700 nt
Filed under: Geodermatophilus sp.
Lineage: Bacteria; Bacillati; Actinomycetota; Actinomycetes; Geodermatophilales; Geodermatophilaceae
Description: bacterial SSU rRNA
Rfam family: Bacterial small subunit ribosomal RNA
Source: RNAcentral